CCGCCCUCGCCUCUCCUUGUCUCCAACCCUCCCCUCGUCACCUACCCGCGUGGCGCCUCUACACCACCGGACCACCUCUCGAGCCCUCGUCAACGCCGCGCGCAGCGCCUCUCCUCCACCUCUAUAGCCCUCGUCACCUCCGCGCGUAGAGACUCAUAAAGCCCCUCCCUCGAACCCUCGCAGUUGCCGUCUUUGUCAUCAUGCUCCACCUCUCAUCACCUCAAUUUCAUCCUCUUACAAGCCUCAUGCCGGCGAAAAUCUCAACCCGAACUUUUGCAAAAAUCUAGUUCGGCCGUGCCCAGGCAUGUCGAGAGGUGUCCAAUCGUAUGAGAGGGUGUCGGAUACGGUGUCCGACCGUGUCGACCGCGUAUCCGUGUAAUGAUGGUUAUGCUUGCAAUCAGUUUAGAAAAGGAUUACCAAAGACAGGAAAAAGAAGCAGCUUUGUUUGCAAAGAAGCAAAUGAGUUACAAAUUGUUGGAUGCUGAUGAUGACGAUGAUGAAGGAGCUGGCUCAGUAACUGCCACCUCUGCAGCUUCUCAGCCUGGAAAAAAAGAGUCCCAUAGAAAGCGUUUUAGGAGGAAAAAUGAAACCCAAGAUGAUGAAGAUGAUGAGGUGACUACAUGCAAAGAUGUUGGGCGCCAAGUUCGAAGCCGUACUUCUGAGGUUGAUGAUGGCGAUAAUGACAGUGAGUCAGAAGCAGCUAGAAUACGUGAUCAAGAAGCAAGAGAGCAACUGGAAAGGAAUAUUAGAGAAAGAGAUGCAGCUGGAACUCGGAAGUUGAUGGAAUCCAAGGUUUCGAAGGAGGAAGAGGAGAUGAUUCGAAGAUCUGCAGCUAUGGAGCAAGACGACACUUCAGAUCUAAGAGUGGUGUCGAGACAAAUGUAUUUUGCAGAAAAGGCGAGAGAAGAAGCUUUUGGAGCUGCGGUAUGGACUGCGGGAUGAUAUUAUAGACCAUGAGUAUCUCUUUGAGGGUGUUAAGUUGACAGAAGCAGAAGAGCGCGAGUUUAGGUACAAGAAACAAAUUUUUGAGCUUGCAAAAGAGCAUGUAGAAAAUCUAGAUGAUAUUGAUGAGUAUAUAUAGGAUGCCUGAUGCAUAUGAUCAAGAGGGGGGUGUAAAUCAAGAGAAAAGAUUUGCUGCUGCUGUGCAGGGGUACAAGGAUUCUUCUGUGGGUGAUAAAAUGAAUCCGUUUGCAGAACAAGAAGCAUGGGAAGAAAACCAAAUCGGUAGGGCAACCCUAAAGUUUGUUUGGCUCUAAGAA
Dioscorea cayenensis subsp. rotundata (Guinea yam) is the source of this 1259-nucleotide RNA transcript. It is a transcript of the gene named pre-mRNA-splicing factor ATP-dependent RNA helicase DEAH1-like, with no coding region annotated. The record is from RefSeq and is a predicted model, not a curated record. Lineage: Eukaryota; Viridiplantae; Streptophyta; Magnoliopsida; Dioscoreales; Dioscoreaceae. The transcript is spliced from 12 exons.